UUAGCCAUGCUAGUCGCACGAGUUCAGACUCGUGGCGAAUAGCUCAGUAACACGUGGCCAAACUACCCUUCGGAACACAAUACCCUCGGGAAACUGAGGCUAAUAGUGUAUACCAUACCACCACUGGAAUGAGUGGUAUGCCAAACGCUCCGGCGCCGAAGGAUGUGGCUGCGGCCGAUUAGGUAGACGGUGGGGUAACGGCCCACCGUGCCAAUAAUCGGUACGGGUCAUGAGAGUGAGAACCCGGAGACGGAAUCUGAGACAAGAUUCCGGGCCCUACGGGGCGCAGCAGGCGCGAAACCUUUACACUGCACGACAGUGGAUUAGGGGGAUCCCAAGUGCACAGGCAUAGCGCCUGUGCUUUUCGGCACCCUAAGGCGGUGCCAGAAUAAGGGCUGGGCAAGACCGGUGCCAGCCGCCGCGGUAAUACCGGCAGCCCAAGUGAUGGCCGAUCUUAUUGGGCCUAAAGCGUCCGUAGCUGGCCGCGCAAGUCCAUCGGGAAAUCCACCUGCUCAACAGGUGGGCGCCCGGUAGAAACUGCGUGGCUUGGGACCGGAAGGCGCGACGGGUACGUCCGGGGUAGGAGUGAAAUCCCGUAAUCCUGGACGGACCGCCGAUGGCGAAAGCACGUCGCGAGAACGGAUCCGACAGUGAGGGACGAAAGCCAGGGUCU
Molecule: ribosomal RNA, 673 nt
Filed under: Halorubrum sodomense
Lineage: Archaea; Methanobacteriati; Methanobacteriota; Halobacteria; Halobacteriales; Haloferacaceae
Description: bacterial SSU rRNA
Rfam family: Archaeal small subunit ribosomal RNA
Source: RNAcentral